GCCGGGGUGAUGAAAUUGGCAAACAUAACGGACUUAAAAUCCGUCGGCCGCAAGGCCCUGAGGGUUCAAGUCCCUCCCCCGGCA
This 84-nucleotide transfer RNA is filed under the name Candidatus Omnitrophota bacterium. RNAcentral describes it as "Candidatus Omnitrophica bacterium tRNA-Leu". It matches the Rfam family "tRNA". From Rfam's summary of the family: Transfer RNA (tRNA) molecules are approximately 80 nucleotides in length. Their secondary structure includes four short double-helical elements and three loops (D, anti-codon, and T loops). RNAcentral also lists the same sequence under 1 other name. Lineage: Bacteria; Pseudomonadati; Candidatus Omnitrophota. The record is from RNAcentral.